Molecule: long non-coding RNA, 488 nt
Organism: Bombyx mori (domestic silkworm)
Lineage: Eukaryota; Metazoa; Arthropoda; Insecta; Lepidoptera; Bombycidae
Exons: 4
Source: RefSeq, a predicted model, not a curated record
GCUUACGUUUUGAGUGUGAAUAGCGUGCGCCCGCGUCUGAAUGUAAUUAUCGUUUAAAAUUGAAAAUUGUUUGUGUUAAAGAAAGAUAAGAAUUCGAAAUUCGAUACUGGUAUCUUUUGAACAUGCGUAGUUCUUUCUUGGAGCGUCAACAGAUGGCGUGGAUGAUGGAUUGAGGAAGGAAUAAGGAAAAGGAAGUCCCAACUGAAUUUAUGUCUACAUUUUUCCGGUGGCGCAGUUUGGGGCUAUCAUGUACAGAGUGCAGUAGAAAGGGAACAAUAGGGCGACGCGACAGAUGAUCAUGAUCUUCUCCAUUGUAGUUUUACGACGGAAUCCAGGGACACCUUCGUACCAGAUAGAGGCCAGCAAUUGUUGGAUGUUAGGGCUGGUUCGUCAGGAUCAUGAUUGAGAAUGAUGGCCAGCUCUUGGGAGCUUCGGGAUUGAUCGAGCAGAUCUACAGCAAACAGUUGCGCCUGUCUCCGUAGUUCCAG